Zonotrichia albicollis (white-throated sparrow) is the source of this 2018-nucleotide long non-coding RNA. The record is from Ensembl. NCBI's taxonomy places the organism in Eukaryota, Metazoa, Chordata, Aves, Passeriformes, Passerellidae.
UUUAAGGCAUAUUUAUCCAUGUAAAUACAUAUUUUGGUAUACACAUUCUUCAUAACACAGUUCUGUGGGCUCUGUGGAGGUUUUGGUAGCAGAACAUUUGCCAUUGUCUAUUUUGAACACUUGCUCAGAAAAUGUGCAAAAAAAGCAGCUGUCACUGGGAUGGGUUUAACACUCCUGGAUCUCAAAAACAGCAUCAACUCUAAAAAAAAACCUAUUGAAAAGUUUAAAAAAAGCUGUCUGGCUCUGGAGGAUCCUGCCAAGACACAAACCCUUGAGAAGCUGCGUUUGUUCAACUCUGAGUUGUGAGACACGCUCAGCUGAGUGUCAGCUCAGUGCCAGGGCCAGCAGCCGUGUGACAGUAGUGUCACAGUGUGGGGACAGCCCUGAGACACUGCACAGGGGCCCUCCCAGCCUGGGGGCUCCAGCAGCCUGCUGGAAAUGCUCAGCUGAGCCUUUUUGUGUUGGGAAGGAAGGAAUGCACAGAGCCAGCUUGGCUGGCAGACAGAGCAGGGAAGCACAGGACAAACCUUCCAACAGCUGCCCAAAGUGCCCCCAAAAUGAGGGGCUGGAAGCAGCCCUGAGCACCCUACCAUCCUCCCAGCCCCUGGAGUGGCUGUGCUCACUCUGCUGCCUCUUUGGGAGCACAGACCCCAGCCCAGCUCACCCCAGCCAGGUGUGUGCCCCUGAGCCCUCUGCUGCGGCUCCAGGCCUGCCCAAACCCUGCAGGGCCCUCAGCCCCUCACACCCCCAGCAUCUCCUGCCUCACAAACCACCCCUGGCACCCAGACACGGCUCCCAGUUCUGCUGCUGCUGCUCUGGGUUUGGGGGUUUCUUUAUUUUUUUUUCUUUUUUUCUUUUCUGUUUGGGGUUUUCUCUUUUUUUCUUUUUUUCUUUUCUGUCCCCCCCAAGUGAAAAUCAAAUGUGGGACAGGACCUCCCGUCCGUGCCACCCAGUGGCUCUCCCUGGUGUGAAUGCAAACAUUCAACACUUCACGGAGUGUUCUCCUUUUCAUGUUUAAUCAAGCUGCUGCUCAUUCUAUUCUGUUGCUGGAAAGAUCAGGUUCCAAAUGUCAGGAAUCACUGGAAUGCAGGGUUUGAUCCAGCCACAGCAUAGAACCCUCUCCCAGUUUUACACACGUGGGUGGGGUUACCCAUAGCCUCAUUUCUCCCUUCAGAAAACUGCACUGACACAAGACUUCCUGCAGCACCACUGUUUCUAUUGAAUGGAUUCUAAAAUAGAGCACUUUAAAGCUGCAAUACAAGAGACAUGGGGGUAUUAGGACUGAUAAACUCAUUUGAGGUGAGUUUGUACCCUUUCCUUGCAGAAUGGGUUUGUUCAUGUUAUUCCAGGUUUUAAAAAACGCCACAUUUCUGAUAACAGCAACUGCUUGGCACACGGCUGUAAAUCAUAAGAGAAAUAAUGCAGCCUGUCACUGACCACAUGCAGAGUGACCCAGGGUGUUUUAUUGCCAUCUGUUGGAGUGAACAUCUCUGUUCUCUCAGCAGGGAUAGCAGAGGCACGGCACCUCCUGGCUGUGCACUGGCCUGGGACAGCUCACACUGAGCCCAGCGAGCUCCCAGCCCUCCUUGCUGGAAAAAUGGAGAUUUUGGGACUGCUGAGUAUUCCCAAGGCUGGGGCUUCUCACUGCCAGCACCUGUCAUGAGCAGGAAAAGUGAGGAAUUGGGCAAUUCCAGCCACCUGCUGGAGCUCAAACUCAGAGCCUGGGAGUGAUGAUCACAGUGAAAGUGGUGCUGCCCGCCCAAGGCCAGGCUGGACGGGGCUAGGAGCAGGAUGGGAUAGUGGAGGUGUCCCUGGGAUAGUGGAGAUGUCCCUGUCCCUGGGAUAGUGGAGAUGUUCCUGUGCCUGUCCCUGGCAGAUUUGGCAUGGGACGGGCUCUGUCCCUCCCAGCCCAGCCCAGCAUUCUGUGAUAAGCAUUUUGCUUUUCCUGCUGUCAGCAGUUGUUGGUGAGCAGGCCAGGAGCUCUUGGGGCCACCAGGGGAUGUGGUGCCCAAGGGCUG